AACGAACGCUGGCGGCGCGCCUAACACAUGCAAGUCGAACGAGAAGGCGUAGCAAUACGCUUGUAGAGUGGCGAACGGGUGAGUAAUACGUGGGUGACCUACCCUCGAGUGGGGAAUAACCCGCCGAAAGGCGGGCUAAUGCCGCGUACGCUUCCGUCCUCACGGGGACGGAAGGAAGGCUGUACCGUGGGUACGGCGCUCAAGGAUGGGCUCACGUCCUAUCAGCUUGUUGGUAGGGUAACGGCCUACCAAGGCUACGACGGGUAGCUGGUCUGAGAGGACGAUCAGCCACACUGGUCACUGCGACACGGGCCAGACUCCUACGGGAGGCAGCAGUGAGGAAUAUUGCGCAAUGGGCG
RNAcentral lists this ribosomal RNA (359 nucleotides) under uncultured bacterium. RNAcentral describes it as "bacterial SSU rRNA". It matches the Rfam family "Bacterial small subunit ribosomal RNA", at positions 29 to 377 of the family's 1533-position model. The record is from RNAcentral.